This 76-nucleotide transfer RNA is filed under the name Thermanaeromonas sp. RNAcentral describes it as "tRNA-Lys". It matches the Rfam family "tRNA". Rfam says of the family: Transfer RNA (tRNA) molecules are approximately 80 nucleotides in length. Their secondary structure includes four short double-helical elements and three loops (D, anti-codon, and T loops). Lineage: Bacteria; Bacillati; Bacillota; Clostridia; Neomoorellales; Neomoorellaceae. The record is from RNAcentral.
GCGCCAGUAGCUCAGUUGGUAGAGCAGCUGACUCUUAAUCAGCGGGUCGUGGGUUCGAAUCCUACCUGGCGCACCA